AUUGAACGCUGGCGGCAGGCCUAACACAUGCAAGUCGAGCGGAUGAAGGGAGCUUGCUCCUGGAUUCAGCGGCGGACGGGUGAGUAAUGCCUAGGAAUCUGCCUGGUAGUAGGGGAUAACGUCCGGAGACGGGCGCUAAUACCGCAUGCGACGUGAGGGAGCAAGUGGGGGAUCUUCGGACCUCACGCUAUCAGAUGAGCCUAGGUCGGAUUAGCUAGUUGGUGGGGUAAGGGCCUGCCAAGGCGACGAUCCGUAACUGGUCUGAGAGGAUGAUCAGUCACCCUGGAACUGAGCCACGGUCCAGACUCCUACGGGAGGCAGCAGUGGGGAAUAUUGGACAAUGGGCGAAAGUCUGAUCCAGCCAUGCCGCGUGUGUGAAGAAGGUCCUCGGAUUGUAAAGCACGUUAAGUUGGGAGGAAGGGCAGUAAGUUAAUACCUUGCUGUUUUGACGUUACCAACAGAAUAAGCACCGGCUAACUUCGUG
RNAcentral lists this ribosomal RNA (484 nucleotides) under uncultured bacterium. RNAcentral describes it as "partial 16S ribosomal RNA". It matches the Rfam family "Bacterial small subunit ribosomal RNA", at positions 30 to 507 of the family's 1533-position model. The record is from RNAcentral.